UUAAGCGACUAAGCGUACACGGUGGAUGCCCUGGCAGUCAGAGGCGAUGAAGGACGUGCUAAUCUGCGAAAAGCGUCGGUAAGGUGAUAUGAACCGUUAUAGCCGGCGAUGUCCGAAUGGGGAAACCCAGUGCAAUUCGUUGCACUAUCGUUAACUGAAUACAUAGGUUAACGAGGCGAACCGGGGGAACUGAAACAUCUAAGUACCCCGAGGAAAAGAAAUCAACCGAGAUUCCCCCAGUAGCGGCGAGCGAACGGGGAGCAGCCCAGAGUCUGAAUCAGCUUGUGUGUUAGUGGAACGGUCUGGAAAGUCCGACGGUACAGGGUGAUAGUCCCGUACACCAAAAUGCACAGGCUGUGAACUCGAAGAGUAGGGCGGGACACGUGGUAUCCUGUCUGAAUAUGGGGGGACCAUCCUCCAAGGCUAAAUACUCCUGACUGACCGAUAGUGAACCAGUACCGUGAGGGAAAGGCGAAAAGAACCCCGGCGAGGGGAGUGAAAAAGAACCUGAAACCGUGUACGUACAAGCAGUGGGAGCACCUUCGGGUGUGACUGCGUACCUUUUGUAUAAUGGGUCAGCGACUUAUAUUCUGUAGCAAGGUUAACCGUAUAGGGGAGCCGCAGGGAAACCGAGUCUUAACUGGGCGUUAAGUUGCAGGGUAUAGACCCGAAACCCGGUGAUCUAGCCAUGGGCAGGUUGAAGGUUGGGUAACACUAACUGGAGGACCGAACCGACUAAUGUUGAAAAAUUAGCGGAUGACUUGUGGCUGGGGGUGAAAGGCCAAUCAAACCGGGAGAUAGCUGGUUCUCCCCGAAAGCUAUUUAGGUAGCGCCUCGUGAAUUCAUCUUCGGGGUAGAGCACUGUUUCGGCUAGGGGGUCAUCCCGACUUACCAACCCGAUGCAAACUACGAAUACCGAAGAAUGUUAUCACGGGAGACACACGGCGGGUGCUAACGUCCGUCGUGAAGAGGGAAACAACCCAGACCGCCAGCUAAGGUCCCAAAGUCAUGGUUAAGUGGGAAACGAUGUGGGAAGGCACAGACAGCCAGGAUGUUGGCUUAGAAGCAGCCAUCAUUUAAAGAAAGCGUAAUAGCUCACUGGUCGAGUCGGCCUGCGCGGAAGAUGUAACGGGGCUAAACCAUGCACCGAAGCUGCGGCAGCGACACUAUGUGUUGUUGGGUAGGGGAGCGUUCUGUAAGCCUGCGAAGGUGUGCUGUGAGGCAUGCUGGAGGUAUCAGAAGUGCGAAUGCUGACAUAAGUAACGAUAAAGCGGGUGAAAAGCCCGCUCGCCGGAAGACCAAGGGUUCCUGUCCAACGUUAAUCGGGGCAGGGUGAGUCGACCCCUAAGGCGAGGCCGAAAGGCGUAGUCGAUGGGAAACAGGUUAAUAUUCCUGUACUUGGUGUUACUGCGAAGGGGGGACGGAGAAGGCUAUGUUAGCCGGGCGACGGUUGUCCCGGUUUAAGCAUGUAGGCUGGUUGUCCAGGCAAAUCCGGAUAAUCAAGGCUGAGGUGUGAUGACGAGGCACUACGGUGCUGAAGUAACAAAUGCCCUGCUUCCAGGAAAAGCCUCUAAGCAUCAGGUAACAUUAAAUCGUACCCCAAACCGACACAGGUGGUCAGGUAGAGAAUACCAAGGCGCUUGAGAGAACUCGGGUGAAGGAACUAGGCAAAAUGGUGCCGUAACUUCGGGAGAAGGCACGCUGGUGUGUAGGUGAAGUCCCUGCGGAUGGAGCUGAGACCAGUCGAAGAUACCAGCUGGCUGCAACUGUUUAUUAAAAACACAGCACUGUGCAAACACGAAAGUGGACGUAUACGGUGUGACGCCUGCCCGGUGCCGGAAGGUUAAUUGAUGGGGUUAUCCGUAAGGAGAAGCUCUUGAUCGAAGCCCCGGUAAACGGCGGCCGUAACUAUAACGGUCCUAAGGUAGCGAAAUUCCUUGUCGGGUAAGUUCCGACCUGCACGAAUGGCGUAAUGAUGGCCAGGCUGUCUCCACCCGAGACUCAGUGAAAUUGAACUCGCUGUGAAGAUGCAGUGUACCCGCGGCAAGACGGAAAGACCCCGUGAACCUUUACUAUAGCUUGACACUGAACAUUGAGCCUUGAUGUGUAGGAUAGGUGGGAGGCUUUGAAGCGUGGACGCCAGUCUGCGUGGAGCCAACCUUGAAAUACCACCCUUUAAUGUUUGAUGUUCUAACGUUGGCCCCUGACCGGGGUUGCGGACAGUGUCUGGUGGGUAGUUUGACUGGGGCGGUCUCCUCCCAAAGCGUAACGGAGGAGCACGAAGGUUAGCUAAUCCUGGUCGGACAUCAGGAGGUUAGUGCAAUGGCAUAAGCUAGCUUGACUGCGAGCGUGACGGCGCGAGCAGGUGCGAAAGCAGGUCAUAGUGAUCCGGUGGUUCUGAAUGGAAGGGCCAUCGCUCAACGGAUAAAAGGUACUCCGGGGAUAACAGGCUGAUACCGCCCAAGAGUUCAUAUCGACGGCGGUGUUUGGCACCUCGAUGUCGGCUCAUCACAUCCUGGGGCUGAAGUAGGUCCCAAGGGUAUGGCUGUUCGCCAUUUAAAGUGGUACGCGAGCUGGGUUUAGAACGUCGUGAGACAGUUCGGUCCCUAUCUGCCGUGGGCGCUGGAGAAUUGAGGGGGGCUGCUCCUAGUACGAGAGGACCGGAGUGGACGCAUCACUGGUGUUCGGGUUGUCAUGCCAAUGGCACUGCCCGGUAGCUAAAUGCGGAAGAGAUAAGUGCUGAAAGCAUCUAAGCACGAAACUUGCCCCGAGAUGAGUUCUCCCUGAGACUUUAAGUCUCCUGAAGGAACGUUAAAGACGAUGACGUUGAUAGGCCGGGUGUGUAAGCGCAGCGAUGCGUUGAGCUAACCGGUACUAAUGAACCGUGAGGCUUAACCUU
RNAcentral lists this ribosomal RNA (2899 nucleotides) under Klebsiella pneumoniae. RNAcentral describes it as "23S ribosomal RNA". It matches the Rfam family "Bacterial large subunit ribosomal RNA". The record is from RNAcentral. Lineage: Bacteria; Pseudomonadati; Pseudomonadota; Gammaproteobacteria; Enterobacterales; Enterobacteriaceae.